UUCCACUGAGUCACAUCCAAAACCAAGACCU
Molecule: non-coding RNA, 31 nt
Filed under: Mus musculus (house mouse)
Lineage: Eukaryota; Metazoa; Chordata; Mammalia; Rodentia; Muridae
Source: RNAcentral